ACCUGGGUGGCUCAGUUGGUUGAGCGUCUGACUUCGGCUCAGGUCAUGAUCGCUCAGUUUGUGGGUUUGAGCCCCGUGUCGGGUU
RNAcentral lists this transfer RNA (85 nucleotides) under Felis catus (domestic cat). It matches the Rfam family "tRNA". Rfam says of the family: Transfer RNA (tRNA) molecules are approximately 80 nucleotides in length. The record is from Rfam by way of RNAcentral. RNAcentral also lists the same sequence under 2 other names. Lineage: Eukaryota; Metazoa; Chordata; Mammalia; Carnivora; Felidae.